RNAcentral lists this ribosomal RNA (700 nucleotides) under Aneurinibacillus aneurinilyticus. RNAcentral describes it as "bacterial SSU rRNA". It matches the Rfam family "Bacterial small subunit ribosomal RNA", at positions 74 to 766 of the family's 1533-position model. Lineage: Bacteria; Bacillati; Bacillota; Bacilli; Caryophanales; Paenibacillaceae. The record is from RNAcentral.
AAGAGCUUGCUCUUCGGCGGUUAGCGGCGGACGGGUGAGUAACACGUAGGCAACCUGCCUGUACGACUGGGAUAACUCCGGGAAACCGGAGCUAAUACCGGAUACGUUUUUCAGACCGCAUGGUCUGAAAGAGAAAGACCUUUGGUCACGUACAGAUGGGCCUGCGGCGCAUUAGCUAGUUGGUGGGGUAACGGCCUACCAAGGCGACGAUGCGUAGCCGACCUGAGAGGGUGAUCGGCCACACUGGGACUGAGACACGGCCCAGACUCCUACGGGAGGCAGCAGUAGGGAAUCUUCCGCAAUGGACGAAAGUCUGACGGAGCAACGCCGCGUGAACGAUGAAGGUUUUCGGAUCGUAAAGUUCUGUUGUUAGGGAAGAACCGCCGGGAUGACCUCCCGGUCUGACGGUACCUAACGAGAAAGCCCCGGCUAACUACGUGCCAGCAGCCGCGGUAAUACGUAGGGGGCAAGCGUUGUCCGGAAUUAUUGGGCGUAAAGCGCGCGCAGGCGGCUUCUUAAGUCAGGUGUGAAAGCCCACGGCUCAACCGUGGAGGGCCACUUGAAACUGGGAGGCUUGAGUGCAGGAGAGGAGAGCGGAAUUCCACGUGUAGCGGUGAAAUGCGUAAAGAUGUGGAGGAACACCCGUGGCGAAAGGCGGCUCUCUGGCCUGUAACUGACGCUGAGGCGCGAAAGCGUGGGG